GAUGAACGCUGGCGGCGUGCCUAAUACAUGCAAGUCGAGCGAACGGACGAGAAGCUUGCUUCUCUGACGUUAGCGGCGGACGGGUGAGUAACACGUGGAUAACCUACCUAUAAGACUGGGAUAACUUCGGGAAACCGGAGCUAAUACCGGAUCAUAUUUUGAACCGCAUGGUUCAAAAGUGAAAGACGGUCUUGCUGUCACUUAUAGAUGGAUCCGCGCUGCAUUAGCUAGUUGGUAAGGUAACGGCUUACCAAGGCAACGAUGCAUAGCCGACCUGAGAGGGGGAACGGCCACACUGGAACUGGAACACGGUCCAGGCUCCUACGGGAGGCAGCAGUAGGGAAUCUUCCGCAAUGGGCGGAAACCUGACGGAGCAACGCCGCGUGAGUGAUGAAGGUCUUCGGAUCGGAAAACUCUGUUAUUAGGGAAAAACAAAUGUGUAAGUAAAUGUGCACAGCUUGACGGUACCUAAUCAAAAAGCCACGGCUAACUACGUG
This 497-nucleotide ribosomal RNA is filed under the name uncultured bacterium. RNAcentral describes it as "partial 16S ribosomal RNA". It matches the Rfam family "Bacterial small subunit ribosomal RNA", at positions 28 to 507 of the family's 1533-position model. The record is from RNAcentral.